GGAUUUAUUGGGUUUAAAGGGUGCGUAGGCGGAUUAAUAAGUCAGCGGUGAAACUCACAGGCUCAACCUGUGCCGUGCCGUUGAAACUGCUUAUCUCGAAUGCGGAUGCUGUGGGAGGAAUGUGUAGUGUAGCGGUGAAAUGCAUAGAUAUUACACAGAACACCGAUUGCGAAGGCAUCUCACAAAGCCGUGAUUGACGCUGAGGCACGAAAGUGUGGGGAUCAAACAGGAUUAGAUACCCUGGUAGUCCACUACUGUAAACGAUGAUAACUCGCUGCCGGCGAUAUAAAGUCGGUGGCCCAGCGAAAGCGAUAAGUUAUCCACCUGGGGAGUACGACCGCAAGGUUGAAACUCAAAGGAAUUGACGGGGGCCCGCACAAGCGGAGGAACAUGUGGUUUAAUUCGAUGAUACGCGAGGAACCUUACC
This 427-nucleotide ribosomal RNA is filed under the name uncultured Bacteroidota bacterium. Its description in RNAcentral is "bacterial SSU rRNA". It matches the Rfam family "Bacterial small subunit ribosomal RNA", at positions 547 to 975 of the family's 1533-position model. The record is from RNAcentral. Lineage: Bacteria; Pseudomonadati; Bacteroidota.